AAGUCGUAACAAGGUUUCCGUAGGUGAACCUGCGGAAGGAUCAUUAUUGAAUAAACCUGAUGUGACUGUUAGCUGGCUUUUCGAAGCAUGUGCUCGUCCAUCAUCUUUAUCUCUCCACCUGUGCACAUUUUGUAGUCUUGGAUACCUCUCGAGGAAACUCGGAUUUUAGGAUCGCCGUGCUGUACAAGUCGGCUUUUCUUUCAUUUCCAAGACUAUGUUUUUAUAUACACCAAAGUAUGUUUAUAGAAUGUUAUCAAUGGGAACUUGUUUCCUAUAAAAUUAUACAACUUUCAGCAACGGAUCUCUUGGCUCUC
RNAcentral lists this unclassified non-coding RNA (314 nucleotides) under Laccaria sp. RNAcentral's name for it is "partial internal transcribed spacer region". The stretch from base 1 to 46 matches the Rfam family "Eukaryotic small subunit ribosomal RNA", at positions 1786 to 1831 of the family's 1831-position model. Lineage: Eukaryota; Fungi; Basidiomycota; Agaricomycetes; Agaricales; Hydnangiaceae. The record is from RNAcentral.